This 451-nucleotide ribosomal RNA is filed under the name uncultured bacterium. RNAcentral describes it as "partial 16S ribosomal RNA". It matches the Rfam family "Bacterial small subunit ribosomal RNA", at positions 354 to 796 of the family's 1533-position model. The record is from RNAcentral.
GUGGGGAAUAUUGGACAAUGGGGGGAACCCUGAUCCAGCCAUGCCGCGUGUGUGAAGAAGGCCUUUUGGUUGUAAAGCACUUUAAGCGAGGAGGAGGCUACCGAGAUUAAUACUCUUGGAUAGUGGACGUUACUCGCAGAAUAAGCACCGGCUAACUCUGUGCCAGCAGCCGCGGUAAUACAGAGGGUGCAAGCGUUAAUCGGAUUUACUGGGCGUAAAGCGCGCGUAGGUGGCUAAUUAAGUCAAAUGUGAAAUCCCCGAGCUUAACUUGGGGAUUGCAUUCGAUACUGGUUGGCUAGAGUAUGGGAGAGGAUGGUAGAAUUCCAGGUGUAGCGGUGAAAUGCGUAGAGAUCUGGAGGAAUACCGAUGGCGAAGGCAGCCAUCUGGCCUAAUACUGACACUGAGGUGCGAAAGCAUGGGGAGCAAACAGGAUUAGAUACCCGUGUAGUCC